AGCUCCAAUAGCGUAUACUAAAGUUGUUGCGGUUAAAAAGCUCGUAGUUGGAUCUUGGAAUGUGUUCAAGCGGGUCAGCUUCUGGCUGUUCGCUGCUUGACGUGUUCUUCUAUUUGGUUUUGGUGCGGUGCGCUUAACUGCAUGUCGCUCCCGGCCGAAACGUUUACCUUGAAAAAAUUAGAGUGUUCAAAGCAGACCUGUUUGAGUCUGAAUAUUCGUGCAUGGAAUAAUGAAAUAUGAAUUCGGUUCUAUUUUGUUGGUUUUCGGAACUCGAGUUAAUGAUCAAGAGGGACAGACGGGGGCAUUCGUACUCUGCCGUUAGAGGUGAAAUUCUUGGAUCGGCGGAAGACGCGCAACUGCGAAAGCAUUUGCCAAGAAUGUUUUCUUUA
Molecule: ribosomal RNA, 389 nt
Filed under: Oikopleura sp.
Lineage: Eukaryota; Metazoa; Chordata; Appendicularia; Copelata; Oikopleuridae
Description: partial small subunit ribosomal RNA
Rfam family: Eukaryotic small subunit ribosomal RNA
Source: RNAcentral